AAUGCUAGAAACUGAACGCUGGUCCUCGGG
Molecule: non-coding RNA, 30 nt
Filed under: Cricetulus griseus (Chinese hamster)
Lineage: Eukaryota; Metazoa; Chordata; Mammalia; Rodentia; Cricetidae
Source: RNAcentral